CCUACGGGUGGCAGCAGUGGGGAAUAUUGCACAAUGGGGGAAACCCUGAUGCAGCAACGCCGCGUGAGUGAAGAAGUAUCUCGGUAUGUAAAGCUCUAUCAGCAGGGAAGAAAAUGACAGUACCUGACUAAGAAGCCCCGGCUAACUACGUGCCAGCAGCCGGGGGAAUACGUAGGGGGCAAGCGUUAUCCGGAUUUACUGGGUGUAAAGGGAGCGUAGACGGGUGCGCAAGUCAGAAGUGAAAGCCCGGGGCUCAACCGCGGGACUGCUUUUGAAACUGUGUAGCUAGAGUGCAGGAGAGGUAAGUGGAAUUCCUAGUGUAGCGGUGAAAUGCGUAGAUAUUAGGAGGAACACCGGUGGCGAAGGCAGCUUACUGGACUGUAACUGACGUUGAGGCUCGAAAGCGUGGGGAGCGAACAGGAUUAGAUACCCCUGUAGUC
RNAcentral lists this ribosomal RNA (440 nucleotides) under uncultured bacterium. RNAcentral's name for it is "partial 16S ribosomal RNA". It matches the Rfam family "Bacterial small subunit ribosomal RNA", at positions 338 to 795 of the family's 1533-position model. The record is from RNAcentral.